AUCCUACGGGGGGCAGCAGUGGGGGAUAUUGCACAAUGGGGGAAACCCUGAUGCAGCGACGCCGCGUGAGCGAUGAAGUAUUUCGGUAUGUAGAGCUCUAUCAGCAGGGAAGAAAAUGACGGUACCUGACUAAGAAGCCCCGGCUAACUACGUGCCAGCAGCCGCGGUAAUACGUAGGGGGCAAGCGUUGUCCGGAUUUACUGGGUGUAAAGGGCGUGCAGCCGGAGAGACAAGUCAGAUGUGAAAUCCGCAGGCUCAACCUGCGAACUGCAUUUGAAACUGUUUCCCUUGAGUAUCGGAGAGGU
RNAcentral lists this ribosomal RNA (305 nucleotides) under uncultured bacterium. RNAcentral describes it as "bacterial SSU rRNA". It matches the Rfam family "Bacterial small subunit ribosomal RNA", at positions 335 to 658 of the family's 1533-position model. The record is from RNAcentral.